CACUUAACACAUGCAAGUCGAACGAGAAAGUCAGCAAUGAUGAGUACAGUGGCGCACGGGUGCGUAACACGUAGGUGACCUGCCUUUUUGUUUGGGACAACCCGGAGAAAUUCGGGCUAAUACCGAAUACGCAGUUUUGAUUUGAAUAAAAAACUGGAAAGUAUGCCUCUACUUGUAAGCAUACAUAAAAAGAUGGGCCUGCGGGACAUUAGCUUGUUGGUGGGGUAAUGGCUUACCAAGGCUACGAUGUCUAGCCGGAUUAAGAGAUUGUCCGGCCACACUGGAACUGAGACACGGUCCAGACUCCUACGGGAGGCAGCAGUGGGGAAUCUUGCGCAAUGGAGGAAACUCUGACGCAGUGAUACCGCGUGAGUGAGGAGGGCCUUCGGGUUGUAAAGCUC
This 401-nucleotide ribosomal RNA is filed under the name uncultured organism. RNAcentral's name for it is "bacterial SSU rRNA". It matches the Rfam family "Bacterial small subunit ribosomal RNA", at positions 45 to 433 of the family's 1533-position model. The record is from RNAcentral.